RNAcentral lists this transfer RNA (84 nucleotides) under Blastochloris viridis. RNAcentral's name for it is "tRNA-Ala". Lineage: Bacteria; Pseudomonadati; Pseudomonadota; Alphaproteobacteria; Hyphomicrobiales; Blastochloridaceae. The record is from RNAcentral.
GUCGCGCCUUGCGGAGCGGUUUGCCGAUCUGGCCUUGCAGGCCGCGCUGUUCGGCUCCGGCCCGUUCGGCUCGGGCUCGGGGCU